Molecule: long non-coding RNA, 1620 nt
Filed under: Solanum pimpinellifolium
Lineage: Eukaryota; Viridiplantae; Streptophyta; Magnoliopsida; Solanales; Solanaceae
Description: long non-coding RNA (SPIM_LNC000264)
Source: RNAcentral
UCACUCCACUAACAUCAAUGUUCGUUGAAGUAGCAAUAACAUAAGCUUGAUUAACACGUCUUAAAGGAACCCCAUUAAGCUUAAAAGGUCCAGUAACAAGAAGCAACCCAGAUAAAAGCUGUUUCAAGAACACAACUCUCUUCCCCUUAAAUCUACCAGCAAGGAUAAUCAACACUGUCCCUGGGGUAAUACUUGCUCUUAGCUUUGUGGGUUUUGGUUUGUGUUUGUUUACAAGGGGUUUUUUGACGUCAUCAGCUGGGUAGAAUUUUGGGGGUUUCUCAGUUGGUGGAAUUGAGAUUGGUUUUUUCUGGUGUUGAGGAAAUUUUCCACCGUUUUUCUUCUUGAUUGCCCAUAAACCCUUUUUGUGGUACAUUUUGGAACGUGAGAACUUUCCCACGCCACGAAUUAGCUCUGGGUUACGGAGUGACUUCUUGGCAGCCAUUGUUGAAGCUCUGUAAAGAAAGAGGGUUAACAGUAAACCUAGAAGAUUGCUAUAUACAGCUAGGGUUAAAUGUUGGUGCCAAAAUUAUCAGCUGUUCAUUUGGGCCUUUUUGGGCUUAACUUGGAUUUAAUGGAUCAUUANUAAGCUUCUAAGCUAAGAUGACCAGCUUCGGGACUUCUCCAUAUCCAUUUUAAAAAGGGAAUAACUCUAUAUCUGUUCCAUAACUACAACAAGUAUAGGAAAUGUAAGAAGUUCGGUAAGCAGAUAAGUCCACAGAAGAACGACAACCGGCCAGUAAACCACUCAAAUUGAAUUCAUUUAGCUACAGCCACAUCGGCAAUCAAGAUCUUGGGUACUGAAUUUCACCCUUCUCUUGGUACAUGUAGCUUUCAAUCAAGCACUACAAUCUCCAUCAUUUAUUGAAAAAUUCACAGUGGCUGCAUGUUCAUUCAUAAGUACAAGAGCACACGAGAUCUGUCAACAUCAUAUAAGUCAAUAUAUCUCGCCGUAACUUUAGAAGAUUAAGAAUGUUCUAAUAUAAGAUAAUUCAACCAAUAUCAAUAUUCACAACCUCAUUAGCAAAUCACAGUUCCAUGAGUUCGGCAUAUCCAUUUCUCCAAGCCCAUUUCGUUCCAUCACAGAGCUACAUGAACUCUCCUCAUCCACUUCACUCUAGUUGCAUCCAUUGUAUUAAAAUUUGUCUUUUUAAGGUAAAUUUGAAUCUCUUGAGUAUACUUUAGCACACAAUUAGGAUUCAAUACAUUCCAACAUUGCUAAAACUUUGUCAUUUGAGUAAAUCUAAAGGCAAACAUUCGAACUUUAAACUGAAGCCAAUUAAUCCAAACCAGAAAAUGAACAAACUAACCUCUUUCUUCUCCUCAAAAAACUCCCCUUCACCCUUCUUCUUCUUCUUCUCAGCUUCCUUAGCAAAAUACUUGUCAUCAAUCUUCUCAACAUUCACUCCACUAACAUCAAUGUUCGUUGAAGUAGCAAUAACAUAAGCUUGAUUAACACGUCUUAAAGGAACCCCAUUAAGCUUAAAAGGUCCAGUAACAAGAAGCAACCCAGAUAAAAGCUGUUUCAAGAACACAACUCUCUUCCCCUUAAAUCUACCAGCAAGGAUAAUCAACACUGUCCCUGGGGUAAUACUUGCUCUUAGCUUUGUGGGUUUUGGUUUG